This is a long non-coding RNA of Poecilia latipinna (sailfin molly), 750 nucleotides long. RefSeq lists it as uncharacterized. NCBI's taxonomy places the organism in Eukaryota, Metazoa, Chordata, Actinopteri, Cyprinodontiformes, Poeciliidae. The record is from RefSeq and is a predicted model, not a curated record. The transcript has 3 exons.
AACAUAACAUUCCUAACAACAUGUGAAAAACUCGGCCCUUUCUGCUUUCCUUAACAGAAAGUUAAAUAAAGCACCUGCUACUUAACUUGGCAGGUUAAGUAUCAGGUGCUGAUCAACAGCUUAGCGCUAAUCUGUUGAUUAACUUUGAUGAAUAAUUAUUAUUUGCUUAAUAACCCCUUUUUUGCAGAAUUUGAAAGUCGUGAAAUAAAACUAAUCCACUUGAGAAGUGCUGGGUAGAACGAAUUUUCAAACAGGUUAUUUGUUUUAUCUUAAAUGCAAAAUGUACAUUAUUUGUACAGUUGAGGCUUAAUUACUGCGCUGAUCAUGUUGUUCUUUCAGCAAAUGGCCUUCUUUUGAGUCGGUAUAGCCCAGUUAAUAAUUAAUUGAUUAAUCAAGCACUAAAUAAGUUACAAUUAUUUAAAUAAUCAACUAAUGAGAAUUAAUCCAAUUAAUUGUUUCGGCCACAGUUUAACUUGGUGUGUCAGAGGAAAAGGUGAGCUGAAUACAAAACACACUACUCAGAUUUCUAUUGUAAAAAAAAUGGAAUUGAAAAUCCUGUGUUUUCGUCUGCCAAUGCAUGAGCUUGUGAAGGUCUAGUCCGUGAAUCCUGCUUAAUUUGUGGCGAUAAUGUGUUUAAAAUGAGGAAAACCUUGAGGGUUCAGAAUACUUAUGCAUCACGCUGUAUAAAAGUUUAAGCUUCUCCCUUUGCUGUGCUUGUAGAAUACAAAAGUCCUGCAAGCUGAUGUGGGA